RNAcentral lists this ribosomal RNA (484 nucleotides) under bacterium 4873K2-B37. Its description in RNAcentral is "bacterial SSU rRNA". It matches the Rfam family "Bacterial small subunit ribosomal RNA", at positions 1 to 486 of the family's 1533-position model. The record is from RNAcentral.
UAGAGUUUGAUCCUGGCUCAGAUUGAACGCUGGCGGCAGGCCUAACACAUGCAAGUCGAGCGGUAACAGAAAGUAGCUUGCUACUUUGCUGACGAGCGGCGGACGGGUGAGUAAUGCUUGGGAACAUGCCUUGAGGUGGGGGACAACAGUUGGAAACGACUGCUAAUACCGCAUAAUGUCUACGGACCAAAGGGGGCUUCGGCUCUCGCCUUUAGAUUGGCCCAAGUGGGAUUAGCUAGUUGGUGAGGUAAUGGCUCACCAAGGCGACGAUCCCUAGCUGGUUUGAGAGGAUGAUCAGCCACACUGGGACUGAGACACGGCCCAGACUCCUACGGGAGGCAGCAGUGGGGAAUAUUGCACAAUGGGCGCAAGCCUGAUGCAGCCAUGCCGCGUGUGUGAAGAAGGCCUUCGGGUUGUAAAGCACUUUCAGUCAGGAGGAAAGGUUAGUAGUUAAUACCUGCUAGCUGUGACGUUACUGACAGAA